Aplysia californica (California sea hare) is the source of this 1155-nucleotide long non-coding RNA. RefSeq lists it as uncharacterized. The transcript is spliced from 2 exons. Lineage: Eukaryota; Metazoa; Mollusca; Gastropoda; Aplysiida; Aplysiidae. The record is from RefSeq and is a predicted model, not a curated record.
AGGAACCAGGACUGGCCACGACACAACACCCCGCCCCCCUCACCACGUGGGAAGCGGCUACCCGCUUCUCUCUACCCAGUUUCCACUUCAAACUUACUGGAGAAGAAACUUAACAGAACUAGCGUGAACUCAAAACUGGAUUACGAAAAAGCAUUUAAAAAAGCAAACAAACUAAAACGUUCUGAACAGCUUCAAAACUAUGGAUACUAACGUACUUUAUAUCUUUCCAAAUGCAAAGAGACCCACAGUUCAAGAACCCGUUAAGUUUGAGCAAACGAGGACAGAGGAGGCCCCAUAUCUAGCCUGAUGAUCAUCUCUGUGUUUCGUGAAAGAAGGCGUGUGCUUCGUAAAAGAAAUUGUGGACUUCGUCAAAGGAAGUGCGUACUACGUCAAAGAAAGUGUGCACUUCUUACAAGAAAGUGCGUACUACGUCAAAGAAAGUGUGCACCUCGUACAAGAAAGUGCGUACUACGUCAAAUAAAGUGUGCACUUCGUACAAGACAGUGUGGGCUACGUCAGAGAAAGUGCGAACUUCUCCAAAGAAAGUGUGUGGUUCUUACAAAAAAUUGUGUAAUACGUAUAAGAAAUAGUUCACGACGCAAAAGAAUCUGUCUGUGACGUCAAACUACGUUUAACUUCAUAAAGGGAAUUACUUCAGUACAAUACUCCAAACCCCUUUUCUCAACCUAAAAAAAAAACGAAAAGAAAAGAAUAAAGAAGACAAAAAACCCAGUGUUGGCGACGUCAAAGAAAUUGAUCAAUCCAUCACAGAGCUUGUUAACUACACCAUCCAAUUUUAAUUUUGCUGUAAGUACUGCGUCAAUGAGAUUGCAUUCGCGGGUUUAGAGAGCAGGGUUUUGUGUCUGGCUUUAAAAAACAGAACAGCGACACAAUGUCACAGGUCACGCGUCAUCUCCACAAAUUAGACGAAACAACGCCCCUAAAUGUUCUAGGGCAGUUCCUCUUGUCCUGAUGAUCUAUCGUGUGGUUUUAUUGUAUGGUUGUUUCGUUGCUACACAUUGUGCCUUGGAUACUGACACGUCUGUGCAAUAAAUAAGAAGGCAACAAACGCUAUAACGACAACAAAAACAGCAACAACAACAACAACAACAACAACAGAAUCAGCAGUAGCAACACUAGCAACAACAACGAAAA